UGCUGAAGACGCUGGCACAGGA
Molecule: unclassified non-coding RNA, 22 nt
Filed under: Mus musculus (house mouse)
Lineage: Eukaryota; Metazoa; Chordata; Mammalia; Rodentia; Muridae
Description: oocyte_clustered_small_RNA359
Source: RNAcentral